GAAGAAGAAGAAGAAGAAGAAGGUUCAGAGAGCUUCAUAGCUUGAGAGUAAGAUCUGAUAUUAGUCUUGGCAUGGUGUUGAAACGAUCUUAAGGCAUAAUUCCAUCUGCACAAUCCUUGAUCUUUCAUUGCCUCCACUACUCCUAUGCUUGCUGCUAUUAGCCAUGCCCUGCUCGUUGAACUCAUCUUUCCUUGUUCUUUUUUAACUGGCAAUCUAUAUAAGAGUGAGAGAUGUGGUUUAGCCGCUAGGAAGAGAGAGAUGUGUACAUUUGUUGGUGUUUUUU
RNAcentral lists this unclassified non-coding RNA (283 nucleotides) under Hevea brasiliensis (rubber tree). Lineage: Eukaryota; Viridiplantae; Streptophyta; Magnoliopsida; Malpighiales; Euphorbiaceae. The record is from RNAcentral.